This 1053-nucleotide long non-coding RNA is filed under the name Linum usitatissimum (flax). RNAcentral's name for it is "long non-coding RNA (LUSI_LNC002930)". Lineage: Eukaryota; Viridiplantae; Streptophyta; Magnoliopsida; Malpighiales; Linaceae. The record is from RNAcentral.
UUAUCUAAUUGGUUCCCCCCCAAAGCAGAGGUGCGGCAACAGUUCACGAGAAUGAACCUCGUUUACCCCUUUCUGAAAAUAGAUGCAGCAAUGGCGGCAAACGCUUUACAGUUCUGUCCAACAAUCUUGGAGCAGGGGACGCCAUGUUUCGGCGUCGACAAUUGAUGGAGGAUAAGGCGGGCCUCGGCAGUGGAGAUCCCUGAUCGAGGAGAAGAAUAGCAGGGAGCCACGAACGAAGGAGCCUUGGCGAUGAGAGAGGGGACGAAUGCCGGUGCUCCGUUCAGGAAGAGAGAGAUGGUGGAGGAUUACGGCGUCGGACUUUCGACGUCCGAUGAAGGGGGAGAUGUGACAAUCAGGAAGACCACAGAAGGGAAAUUCGUCGAGAAGGAGCUCGGCGUCGGGAGCUACGACGUUUGCUCUUGGAGUCCGAACCAAGUAAGAGAAAACCGGUUAGUGUCGGGAACCAUCUCCGGCUAGUGGCGGUGGGUUCCGAGAGUUAUCGGCGAAACCUGGAGCGUUCCAAGAAUCAUGGUGUUUUCGGCGUUGUCCUCUGCACCGUGGGAACCAAUUGGAGAAGAUAGCCUUUUUCUUAUUAAGAUAAGUGUAGUGACCAUUUUGUAAUUUCUGUAAAUUUGAGGUUAACGAAUCUGCAAAGGAAGGGACUUGGAGGAUUAAAUCUGGAAUGUUGCCAGCUAAGCAAUGAAAGGACAGUUUCGUCCCUGGAAGUUUCUACGAGUUGCAAAGAAGUAAAAAGAGCAUAACUCGACCGUUUGAACUCCUAACGACACAUCGUCAGAAGUUAUGGUUUCAUGGAAGCAAAAGGAAUCACCUUGGAUACAUUUCUGAGAUGUCAUAUCGUCAUCGCGGUUGGUUGGUUUAAAGGGGAUAAAUUCUUUGUGUUGCGAUAGCUAGGUAAUUACAUGAUAUGUUCUAUGUGAUGCGUUAAAUUGAACUACAUGAUUUGUAUGUUAAUUAUGUGUUGCUAUGUUAUUUUACAAAGUGAUGUGCCCUUAAAAUAACACUACUUAAUGAUAUGAAUGAUAAGAUGAUGAA